This 73-nucleotide transfer RNA is filed under the name Dipodomys ordii (Ord's kangaroo rat). It matches the Rfam family "tRNA". Rfam says of the family: Transfer RNA (tRNA) molecules are approximately 80 nucleotides in length. Their secondary structure includes four short double-helical elements and three loops (D, anti-codon, and T loops). The record is from Rfam by way of RNAcentral. Lineage: Eukaryota; Metazoa; Chordata; Mammalia; Rodentia; Heteromyidae.
GGAAUUGUGGUUGAAGUGGUAAAGGGACUGCCUAGCAAGCACAGUGCUUUGAGUUCAAAUCUCAGCAUUUCUC